UGCAGUCGAGCGGACAGAAGGGAGCUUGCUCCCGGAUGUUAGCGGCGGACGGGUGAGUAACACGUGGGUAACCUGCCUGUAAGACUGGGAUAACUCCGGGAAACCGGAGCUAAUACCGGAUAGUUCCUUGAACCGCAUGGUUCAAGGAUGAAAGACGGUUUCGGCUGUCACUUACAGAUGGACCCGCGGCGCAUUAGCUAGUUGGUGGGGUAAUGGCUCACCAAGGCGACGAUGCGUAGCCGACCUGAGAGGGUGAUCGGCCACACUGGGACUGAGACACCGCGUGAGUGAUGAAGGUUUUCGGAUCGUAAAGCUCUGUUGUUAGGGAAGAACAAGUGCGAGAGUAACUGCUCGCACCUUGACGGUACCUAACCAGAAAGCCACGGCUAACUACGUGCCAGCAGCCGCGGUAAUACGUAGGUGGCAAGCGUUGUCCGGAAUUAUUGGGCGUAAAGGGCUCGCAGGCGGUUUCUUAAGUCUGAUGUGAAAGCACGUGUAGCGGUGAAAUGCGUAGAGAUGUGGAGGAACACCAGUGGCGAAGGCGACUCUCUGGUCUGUAACUGACGCUGAGGAGCGAAAGCGUGGGGAGCGAACAGGAUUAGAUACCCUGGUAGUCCACGCCGUAAACGAUGAGUGCUAAGUGUUAGGGGGUUUCCGCCCCUUAGUGCUGCAGCUAACGCAUUAAGCACUCCGCCUGGGGAGUACGGUCGCAAGACUGAAACUCAAAGGAAUUGACGGGGGCCCGCACAAGCGGUGGAGCAUGUGGUUUAAUUCGAAGCAACGCGAAGAACCUUACCAGGUCUUGACAUCCUCUGACAACCCUAGAGAUAGGGCUUUCCCUUCGGGGACAGAGUGACAGGUGGUGCAUGGUUGUCGUCAGCUCGUGUCGUGAGAUGUUGGGUUAAGUCCCGCAACGAGCGCAACCCUUGAUCUUAGUUGCCAGCAUUCAGUUGGGCACUCUAAGGUGACUGCCGGUGACAAACCGGAGGAAGGUGGGGAUGACGUCAAAUCAUCAUGCCCCUUAUGACCUGGGCUACACACGUGCUACAAUGGACAGAACAAAGGGCUGCAAGACCGCAAGGUUUAGCCAAUCCCAUAAAUCUGUUCUCAGUUCGGAUCGCAGUCUGCAACUCGACUGCGUGAAGCUGGAAUCGCUAGUAAUCGCGGAUCAGCAUGCCGCGGUGAAUACGUUCCCGGGCCUUGUACACACCGCCCGUCACACCACGAGAGUUUGCAACACCCGAAGUCGGUGAGGUAACCU
RNAcentral lists this ribosomal RNA (1261 nucleotides) under Bacillus safensis. RNAcentral describes it as "partial 16S ribosomal RNA". It matches the Rfam family "Bacterial small subunit ribosomal RNA". The record is from RNAcentral. Lineage: Bacteria; Bacillati; Bacillota; Bacilli; Caryophanales; Bacillaceae.